Molecule: long non-coding RNA, 1423 nt
Organism: Stegostoma tigrinum
Lineage: Eukaryota; Metazoa; Chordata; Chondrichthyes; Orectolobiformes; Stegostomatidae
Exons: 3
Source: RefSeq, a predicted model, not a curated record
ACGAGAACAGCACAGGCUCACCGACACGCAGAAUCAAAAUGGGAUACUUUCGGACGAUGUUCUACCAUGUUUGAAUUGGAGCUUAACAGAGCUUCGUUGUGAUGUCAGUUCCAAAUCUCCAAUGGGCUGGAAGGAACAAAGCUGACCGAAGAAGGAUGUUCGUAAAGUGGAAAGAGUUCAAAAAUGGUUUACAGAGAAGUUUACUGAAAACGGAGGUUUUGAGUUACAAGGAGAGCCUGGGACAUUUUUCCCUCAAACGUCGAAAGCUGAGGGCUGACGUUACAAAAGUUUAUAAAAUCAUGAGGAACACAGGUCCCAUCAUACCCCGUUAUCGUCACGACUGGUCGAUCUACAAAGAAAAUAAUUCAUGGCAUCAGAGCCCUUUUCUCCGCAGGACCCACAGCAAUGAUUGAAGAGGGUGCUGUCACAAUGGAAGAAAGUAGUAGAUUCGUGUCUUCACGAUGAGCGAUAGAGUCCUAGAGCAUGGAAACAGACCUUUUGGCCCAUCUAGUCCAUGCCGACCAUUACCCCAAACUAAGCCAGCUCCUGCCUCCUCCUGGCCCAUAUCCCUUCAAACCGUUCCUAUUUGUGUACUCAUCCAAAUGUCUUUUAAAUAUUGUAACCGUAUCCACCACUUGCUUUGGAAGUUCAUUCCACACACGAACCACCCUCUGUGUAAAAAAAAUUGCCCCCUCCUGUCUUUCUUACAUUUCUCUCUUCUCGCCUUGAAAAUGUAGCCCCCUCCCCCGUCUUGAAAUCCCCAUCUUAGGAAAAAGACAGCCGCCAAUAACCCAAUCUAUACCCGAAAGGAGGCAGCCAGGAUUGGGGCUGAAUGGCCUGCUUCCACGCCCCAAGGAUUCUAUAUAAAAUCAGAAUCAAACUGCCUGAGGCAGCAGAUGUGUUAACAACAGAGGAGUACGGACUUAUAACUAGGACAUUGCUGUACCCUAUCCAAUUUCAUGUCUGCUUCGGAAACCUAGAGAUAAAUGACUCGGAAGCGAGCGUGUGCUAGAAAUUCCAUGCCCUCCACACAUUUCCUCAAGACCAAGGAAAGAACACUUGAAAUUGCAGAAGGUGUAAGGAGAGACAGUCAGGUACGAAAAUAUUGACUUUCUGCUCGCUUGUGCAGAGCUGAAAAGCUGCAGAGACCUGGGCCUUGAGGCUAAAGUGGAGACUGGGCAGGAAGAUGCCCCAUCAUCAUGGAUGCCCCUGUGUGUGGGCACAGGUGGGCUACAAUGGAGGUGUACAGAUAGUGCCAGACUUACUAAUGUGGCAUGGCAUGAGACAGCUCUCCAGGCAGGAGUGACUCUGAUGAGCAUCAGCAAGUGGGAGGGUGUCUCAUGGAACAGGUCAUCCAAUUCUGUGCACUUUCCGCAAGUUGUCAGACGGUUAGCAAGUAUAGAAAAUGUUAUUUUUCAUCUCU